GCGCGCGUAGCUCAGUUGGUAGAGCACUCGACUGAUACUCGUGUUGUCCCAGGUUCGAUCCCUGGCGCGCGCACAA
RNAcentral lists this transfer RNA (76 nucleotides) under Candidatus Zambryskibacteria bacterium RIFCSPHIGHO2_02_FULL_38_22. RNAcentral's name for it is "tRNA-Ile". It matches the Rfam family "tRNA". From Rfam's summary of the family: Transfer RNA (tRNA) molecules are approximately 80 nucleotides in length. Their secondary structure includes four short double-helical elements and three loops (D, anti-codon, and T loops). Further hydrogen bonds mediate the characteristic L-shaped molecular structure. tRNAs have two regions of fundamental functional importance: the anti-codon, which is responsible for specific mRNA codon recognition, and the 3' end, to which the tRNAs corresponding amino acid is attached (by aminoacyl-tRNA synthetases). tRNAs cope with the degeneracy of the genetic code in two manners: having more than one tRNA (with a specific anti-codon) for a particular amino acid; and 'wobble' base-pairing, i.e. permitting non-standard base-pairing at the 3rd anti-codon position. The record is from RNAcentral. RNAcentral also lists the same sequence under 3 other names. Lineage: Bacteria; Candidatus Zambryskiibacteriota.